This 318-nucleotide ribosomal RNA is filed under the name uncultured Jeotgalicoccus sp. RNAcentral describes it as "bacterial SSU rRNA". It matches the Rfam family "Bacterial small subunit ribosomal RNA", at positions 28 to 334 of the family's 1533-position model. The record is from RNAcentral. Lineage: Bacteria; Bacillati; Bacillota; Bacilli; Caryophanales; Staphylococcaceae.
GAUGAACGCUGGCGGCGUGCCUAAUACAUGCAAGUCGAGCGCGAGAAUGAGGAGCUUGCUCCUCAUGAUCGAGCGGCGGACGGGUGAGUAACACGUAGGCAACCUACCCUUGAGAUUGGGAUAACUACCGGAAACGGUAGCUAAUACCGGAUACGACUUUUCCACACAAGUGGAAUGGUUAAAAGGCGGAUUUAUCUGCCGCUCAUGGAUGGGCCUGCGGUGCAUUAGCUAGUUGGUGAGGUAGUGGCUCACCAAGGCGACGAUGCAUAGCCGACCUGAGAGGGUGAUCGGCCACACUGGGACUGAGACACGGCCCAG